ACAGGGCCAGCAGGUCAGGCGCUGACCAUCAACAUGGGCGCAUCGUAAUGGACCAAACCAAACACAGCCAAGCACGCAGCCCGGGCCAACGCAAUGCGCCGUCAACCCGUCAACCCAACCACCUCCCACAGCGCACUCACCACUUGAUGGCGUCCUCCUUGGUCACCUUGUGCUUGACGCCCACGUGGGCCUUCUGCUUCCGGCGGCGGGCCACGCGGUAGCCGCGGCGCUCCAGGCACACGUAGAAGUCCAUGCCUGUGGCGAAGACGAGACGCCACGCCGAACGCGCGAGCGAAAGGGCGAGCGAGAGGGGAGGGGGCAAAGGGGAGCGAGAUGUGGUUAGGUCGCGUACAACGCCUUGCGGCGGACGCUCGGGAUACAACAAUGUCAACGCACAGCCCGGGGCUGGCGGACAGGUAACAGCGCGGCGCAGCAGCCAGCGCGAGGAGAAGGACGGCUUCCAGUUGCCUGGGCACGCGCCGGCAAGCGGCAGCGGCCGGCAGAGCUGGUGCACAGCACGGGCUACUCGAGCGACCGUGUGGCGUCUGCGCCGGGGCCAGGGCGGGGAGGCAUGUCAGAGGGCAGCAAGCAAUGUCAGGGGAGGAGCCUGGUGGAGCAGCAGCAGCAGCGGUGGCGGCUGCAGGCUGCUGCUGCGGCGGCUGCACCGUGGCUGAGUGGCCUCCGUCAGAAUGCGUCUGGUCGGCAUGCUGCCUCCCGUCAAGCCAGCACCAACCCAAACCCGCGCCAGCGGCCCAGAGCUUGCUUGUAAUCCACAAACACUCGCGCUGAGCCCUUGCUGCUUCUUGACCCGCUGUCACUGCAUCAGCCGAUCACCCGUGACGUGCGUGUGGCCCCGCCAAAGUCCGGCAGCUCCGCCUCACCCCUUGGUCGCCCGGCUGUAGUCGCCCGGCUGUUAAACAUAUCACCAGUAGCAAGGCGCCAGAGCUCUACAUGCGCCAGCUUCGUCGUCCUGAGCUGCAUCGUCCUCGACAGCUGCUCUGGUAAGUAGCAUUCAUAGCUGCAAUCGUUCCUCCAUCCCAGCCGCUGAUAUGCUGGAUGGCAUCCGCCGCGCCUGGCUGUGAUGCUGCUUGCUACCGCCGCCGCCUCUAAUACCGCCGCCGCCGCUACUCCACCAGACGCCUCCCCGUCCAUGCCGCACCCAUCUGUGCAUGCCCCAGCCACAGGCCACGCGGCUGACAAAGCCGUCAUGUUGCCUUAAUGCAGUCGUUCCGACCUGACGCGCACGCGCACGCUCUUGCUUACCGUAAAUGCCGGUGGAGGGGUCGUACUUCAGGCCCAGGUCGAUGUGCUCCUGGAUGCCGAAGCCUGCAAGGAAGUUGGUGAAGGUGUAGUACAACGAGUUCAGCAGCUGUGGGUGAGAGCUCAGGGGGAGUGUUCUAGCUGCGUGUGUCGACACGGUCUCAAGCACCAACCGCAAGCGUGUCCCCUUGCCUCUCCCCCCAUGGGCACGCAGCGUGACCGCUUACCGAAGUUGCCGGUGUCGGAGAAGUUCUUGCGGAUCAGCUCGAACUCCUUCACGGCCAGGCCACGCUUCUGCAAGGCCGAACAGGACACACCAUGGUUGGGAUGUGCCAAGCCCCACUGACAGGAACAGCGCCGACGCUGCACAGCCCUCCCAAGUCGUACACCUCAGUGCUAAUUUGAGCAUAGCACAGCAAAAACUCCUUCUACAGCGCUCUGCAGAGCCCGCCGGCUCACCACCAGGUCGUAGGCCUUCUCGCCGCGGACGGUCACGUAGCACGAAAUCUUCUCAUUACGGCGAAUGGCGAAGGAGCGCACGGUGAAGCGAGCGCGGCCGUAGACGGGCACCUGAGAGGUCAGCUGCUCCAGCACCUGCAGUGGGCAAAGCGGCGCGGAGGCGGAUGAGCGAGGUCGUCCUUCCGCCGAGCUGUCCUUCGCUAUGACGCAGAGUACAGCGUUAUUAUGAUGACAAACAGCGCC
This 1962-nucleotide long non-coding RNA is filed under the name Chlamydomonas reinhardtii. Its description in RNAcentral is "long non-coding RNA (CREI_LNC000039)". Lineage: Eukaryota; Viridiplantae; Chlorophyta; Chlorophyceae; Chlamydomonadales; Chlamydomonadaceae. The record is from RNAcentral.